AUACGGAGGAUCCGAGCGUUAUCCGGAUUUAUUGGGUUUAAAGGGAGCGUUGGCGGGAGAUCAAGUCAGCUGUGAAAUGUAGAUGCUCAACAUCUGCACUGCAGUUGAAACUGGUUUUCUUGAGUGCGUAAGGGGCAGGCGGAAUUCGUCGUGUAGCGGUGAAAUGCGUAGAUAUGACGAAGAACUCCGAUCGCGGAGGCGGCAUGCCGGGCCGCGACUGACGCUGAAGCUCGAAGGUGCGGGUAUCGAACAGGAUUAGAUACCCUGGUAGUCCGCACAGUAAACGAUGGAUACUCGCCGUCGGCGAUAUACGGUCGGUGGCCAAGCGAAAGCGUUAAGUAUCCCACCUGGGGAGUACGCCGGCAACGGUGAAACUCAAAUGAAUUGACGGGG
Molecule: ribosomal RNA, 393 nt
Filed under: uncultured bacterium
Lineage: Bacteria
Description: partial 16S ribosomal RNA
Rfam family: Bacterial small subunit ribosomal RNA
Source: RNAcentral